GCAGGAGGAGGAGCGGGAAAUUCCUUAGUGUAGUCGGUGAAAAUACGUAGAUAUUAUGAAGGGAGCCCCCAGUGGCGAAGGACGGCUCCCCUGGACUGUAAACUGACGUUGAGGCUCGAAAGACGUGGGGAGGCAAACAGGAUUAGAUACCCCUGGUAGUCCACCCCCGUAAAACGAAUGAUCACUAGGUGUGGGUGGGUGUGGACCCAUCGGUGCCGCAGCAAACGCAAUAAGUGAUCCACCUGGGGAGUACGUUCGCAAGAAUGAAACUUAAAGGAAUUGACGGGGACCCGCACCAGCGGUGGAGCAUGUGGUUUAAUCUGAAGCAACGCGAAGAACCUUACCAAGUCUUGACAUCCCAUCGAAGAGAGGGUAGAGCCUCUUGCCCUUCGGGGCGAUGGAGACAGGUGGUGCAUGGUUGUCGUCAGCUCGUGUCGUGAGAUGUUGGGUUAAGUCCCGCAACGAGCGCAACCCCUAUCUUUAGUAGCCAGCGAGCAGAGUCGGGCACUCUAGAGAGACUGCCGGGGAUAACCCGGAGGAAGGUGGGGAUGACGUCAAAUCAUCAUGCCACUUAUGAUUUGGGCUACACACGUGCUACAAUGGCGUAAACAAAGGGAAGCGAACCUGCGAGGGGGAGCAAAUCCCAGAAAUAACGUCCCAGUUCGGAUUGUAGUCUGCAACUCGACUACAUGAAGCUGGAAUCGCUAGUAAUCGCGGAUCAGAAUGCCGCGGUGAAUACGUUCCCGGGUCUUGUACACACCGCCCGUCA
This 769-nucleotide ribosomal RNA is filed under the name uncultured bacterium. RNAcentral describes it as "bacterial SSU rRNA". It matches the Rfam family "Bacterial small subunit ribosomal RNA", at positions 648 to 1399 of the family's 1533-position model. The record is from RNAcentral.